CGGUCUCCGCCCGGCUCCCGCGCGCCGCCUCUGCUCUUUGCAUAGUAAUAUCAGUUCCUGCAAGCACCCAGCUCGCUCCCGGAACGGGUCUAAAAAGGACCGCCGCUCCAGAGCCCGCCGAAGCCCUCUGUGUGGCGCCGAGAGCCACUGCUUGGGACAUGCGACGGGAAAACCCCGCCACAGCGCAGGCAGUCGCCCCGCCGCGCGGGGGAGAACCGGGCGAGAGCAGAUGGACCCCUCAGAGGAAUCAUCCCUGACUGAGUCUUCACUCUGAGCUGAUACUGCUUCCCAGAGGGAGACUGCUCUGGGGAGAGUGCUGAGGUUUUCCUGAAGAAGAAUUCCAUGGGGACCGUACCUGACCCUUUGAGAUCGGCUAAAACUUCCUUGCUUGCAGCUUCUGGAAAAGAAGAGGAUCUAGAAGAAGUGCAGCCUGCCUCACCUCGGUCUCGACCAGCCCUCCUCUGUAAGAACACCAAUGGCCUUUCUGGCCCUCCUGAAGGGCCUGUCCUCAGCCCCAGGGCAGCUGCUGAGGCCUUGAUGCAGGCCUUUGAGCAUGAGACCACCCCGCUGGACAUGUCUUCCCCCAGUGUCUUCAGUGAGGUGGAAAAAGCGUGUCCUCCAUGCAACUCUCCUGGCAAUACCCAGCUGCUGGGAAGCAGCGAGCCCACAGCACCAGCUCCGUGUUCUGCAGCAGGAAAGGAUGUUCUAGACGAAGCAUUUACAAUGCCAGCCAAUCAACACAGCCACCAGGCCAUCCCAGGCGACCAGCCUAGUGCCAGCCCCUUAGCAGGACCUGAUGAUACGCUGCUGAAAACCCGGAGAACAUCAGACGGGGAGCAACCUGGAAAGUCAAGUUGUCCUGUGGGCAGCACCCAGGGCAACAGAAAAGCCCAAGUGCCCUGUGAUUUUCCCUCUCAAGAAAUAGUCCAGGGACUGGUGCAAACUGCAAAUACAGCGGCGUCUGUGUUCAGCUACACCUGCUCUCCUGGAGGCGGACCUGAAGGGGAGAGGCCCGGAGCCAUUCUCGACUCCCAGACAAGGUCCUGUGAGUCUCCAGCGAGAGAAGACAGGUGUUCUGGACAUACACAGCGCUCUACCACCACCUCGGACAGCCAGGCCAUGACUUCUGUGACAUCUCAACCAUCCCACCUCACUAGCCAAGAGUCCGCAUUUCCUCCAGAUCUGGGAAAGGUGCCAUUGCCUGCACAGCACCAGGUUUCAAGGUUCAAAGAAGCAAGUACAAUGACCAAUCAACCUGCCGGUGAGGUACAGGAGGUUGCCAGCAGGGCUCGGCAAGAUGCUGAGGUGCAGGCAGUGGCAAGUGUCGAGAGCAGGUCCGUCUCCACCAGCCCCAGCAUCCUCACCGCGUUCCUAAAGGAAAUCCCCAUUCCCGAGCGUCGAGAACCACAGGAGCAGCUGCGUGUCAUCUGCCACAGCAGCAGCCACGGCAGCCACACGCUAGAGCUGUCUGAUGACAUCCUAGCCCCCCAGGAGUCGAGCCAGUGCCCUGGCAUCAUGCCAGAGGUGCACAUCCAGGCAACUGCGGCAGUUUCCACAGCUUGCCAAGGGGACUGUAAAUUGGGGAGCCUCCCAGGGGAGGUCCUUCAAAUCUCCACGAUCACUGUGGCAUCUGGAAAGGCUCAAGAUAUGUGCAAGAAAGAUGGGGGGUCAGCAGGCAUGGCCCCGACAGGGGAGGAGCCCACCUCCAGACAGCUUUCGGACGUGAAUUCUAGCUCCCAGAAAGCUAGCCCGACUGACCAAAUUUCUGUUCGCGCAGGAAGUCAAACUGAAACAAAUCAUGAAUUGGGGAAAUUUGAAAGCAAGCCAUCUGAGUUUGCAGUGAAAACCACAGAUGGUCCCCAAACAAACCCAGACUGCCAACUCUCUGACUCUUGUGGCCCUGCCAGCAAAGACGACCCGUCCGGGAGCGUGGAUCCCGCUGGUAAAGGACAGGCAACAGAGCCUGCAUCUCCGCGCAGAGUAAAACAGCAGGAAUGUCGGGGCACAGAUAACCUCGAAGCCAGGGCAAGGGGAGAGGCCAAGACCCUGCUGCUCAACCCUAAAUCUCAAGAAAGUGCAGGCGCUGGAUCCGCUGCCAGCCCCACACCGUCCCCGGUCAGGAAGAACCAGGACGGUACCUUGGAAGAAAGCAGACAGACCAAGACGGCCACCAGCCUGAGCCUGCCGGCUGACUCCAUGGGGGACUCCAGCCCAGGUUCUGGCAAGAGGACCCCUUCCCGCCUGGUCAAAGCCAGCCCCCGCAGGGCCAGCCGCGUCAGCGAGUUCCUCAAGGAGCAGAAGUUAAACGUGACGGCGGCGGCCGCGCAGGUGGGACUCACCCCGGGAGAGAAGAAGAAGCAACUUAGCACGGACGCCAAGCUGCAGUUGAAACAGUCCAAGCGUGUCAGGGAUGUCGUGUGGGAUGAGCAGGGCAUGACCUGGGAGGUGUACGGUGCCUCCCUGGACCCGGAGUCCCUGGGCAUCGCCAUCCAGAACCAUCUACAAAGACAAAUCAGGGAACACGAGAAAUUAAUCAAAGCUCAAAGCAGCCAGGCCCGGAGAUCCAUUUCCUCAGACACUUCUUCCAACAAAAAGCUCAAAGGAAGGCAGCACAGCGUCCUGCAGUCCAUGUUGCAGAACUUUCGACGCCCCAACUGCUGUGUUCGUCCCGCCCCUUCUUCUGUGUUAGACUGAAAGGGAACGUGUAUGGGAACCCUCGUGCACAGUUACGGUAUUCCCGAGUGUCUGUGAAUUCCCAUCAUUCUGGGAGUACCUGUAUAUACCACAUGAAGAUUAUAAUAUAAUGUGACUUUAAAAUGUGUUUACAGAGAAUAUAUAUAAGUGUGCUGUUAAAGUAAAUUGUUUGGCCUUUGCUAUAUCCACUCAGUUACUGUUUGCUGCCAAAAUGUGAGAAAAUAUCUUCUAUUCCUCCUACGUAUUGUGCAAGUGUUAAAAGAAUUUGUCCAUUUCUAGUACCACAUAAUUCACCACUUCCCCUGUCUACUUUUUAAGAAUCAGUAUAAAGAAAACAAUACCUUAGGAUAAGGUUUGCGUAUACAUAUAUGUGUUUUUACUGAAAAUUGGGCCCUUGCAGCCAUGUGUAGGCCUCGACCGGUCUGAUUUACUCAUCGUCUACAAUACUGCCAUGGAAAUGAUGCUGUUUUCUCUCUCCUGCUUUGUCCUGAGUGGUAUUUGAGAAAUGAUGCCUGUGAAUUUCCCUUUGUGAUAAUAACAGGGUGAACUGGGCAGUAUCUUGGAUAAAUGAGCUGACCAUCUUGUCCCCACCCCUGUUUUGUCUACACAGUGAAUCAGAAGUCUUGUCUGUGUCUGCUUCAGUGUUUGCUAUUUUAUAUUGAUAUCUGAGCAGUUUGUUUUCUGUUAGCAAUGUUCUUUGAUGCUGUGUGUGGCCCUUUUGGUUGAAUCUCUCCAAAUGUGGGUCAGCUGCUGCCACCUGGCAAAUAACAGGUGAUACACUGAAUCUCCUGUCCAUUCUUGUAACUAUAUCCUUCAUGAAAUUCUGCAACUGGCUGAGUAAUUACAACCGUCAUCUGUGCAGACACAUGGGCUUAAGGAUGUCUACAAAAUUUUAGACAUUUUUGCAAAAGGGUAAAAAUAUAGUCUUGUAAAUACUGAAACAUUUCCAUGAACUUUAUCUUACUCUUGGGUGG
This is an RNA transcript of Lontra canadensis (Northern American river otter), 3668 nucleotides long. It is a transcript of the gene named GPRIN family member 3, with no coding region annotated. Lineage: Eukaryota; Metazoa; Chordata; Mammalia; Carnivora; Mustelidae. The record is from RefSeq and is a predicted model, not a curated record. The transcript is spliced from 3 exons.